This 384-nucleotide ribosomal RNA is filed under the name uncultured bacterium. RNAcentral's name for it is "bacterial SSU rRNA". It matches the Rfam family "Bacterial small subunit ribosomal RNA", at positions 30 to 414 of the family's 1533-position model. The record is from RNAcentral.
AUUGAACGCUAGCGGGAUGCCUUACACAUGCAAGUCGAACGGCAGCGCGGACUUCGGUCUGGCGGCGAGUGGCGAACGGGUGAGUAAUGUAUCGGAACGUGCCUAGUAGCGGGGGAUAACUACUCGAAAGAGUAGCUAAUACCGCAUACGCCCUACGGGGAAAGGGGGGGAGUCGCAAGACCUCUCACUAUUAGAGCGGCCGAUAUCGGAUUAGCUAGUUGGUGGGGUAAAGGCUCACCAAGGCGACGAUCCGUAGCUGGUUUGAGAGGACGACCAGCCACACUGGGACUGAGACACGGCCCAGACUCCUACGGGAGGCAGCAGUGGGGAAUUUUGGACAAUGGGGGAAACCCUGAUCCAGCCAUUCCGCGUGUGCGAUGAAGG